This 253-nucleotide ribosomal RNA is filed under the name uncultured bacterium. Its description in RNAcentral is "partial 16S ribosomal RNA". It matches the Rfam family "Bacterial small subunit ribosomal RNA", at positions 524 to 776 of the family's 1533-position model. The record is from RNAcentral.
UACAGAGAGUGCAAGCGUUAAUCGGAAUUACUGGGCGUAAAGAGCGCGUAGGUGGGUUCUUAAGUCGGAUGUGAAAGCCCCGGGCUUAACCUGGGAACGGCAUCCGAUACUGGGAACCUAGAGUAUGGUAGAGGGAAGUGGAAUUUCCGGUGUAGCGGUGAAAUGCGUAGAUAUCGGAAAGAACACCAGUGGCGAAAGCGGCUUCCUGGCCCAAUACUGACACUGAGGUGCGAAAGCGUGGGGAGCAAACAGG